AGGUACCUUCUUUGAGAUUGGUGUCCAUAUAAGAUGAAUUUUACUCUGGUUUGAAAAAUAAUCUAUGGAAAGUGACCAGGUUAUUUGGGCUUAAUAAAUUAUGGGGGUUUUA
This is a long non-coding RNA of Pantherophis guttatus, 112 nucleotides long. RefSeq lists it as uncharacterized. The record is from RefSeq and is a predicted model, not a curated record. Lineage: Eukaryota; Metazoa; Chordata; Lepidosauria; Squamata; Colubridae.